Molecule: ribosomal RNA, 301 nt
Filed under: uncultured bacterium
Lineage: Bacteria
Description: partial 16S ribosomal RNA
Rfam family: Bacterial small subunit ribosomal RNA
Source: RNAcentral
CAGUAGCCACGGUAAAACGAGGGGAGCUAGCGUUAUUCGGAAUUACUGGGCGUAAAGCGCACGUAGGCGGCUUUGUAAGUUAGAGGUGAAAGCCCAGAGCUCAACUCUGGAAUUGCCUUUAAGACUGCAUCGCUUGAAUCCAGGAGAGGUGAGUGGAAUUCCGAGUGUAGAGGUGAAAUUCGUAGAUAUUCGGAAGAACACCAGUGGCGAAGGCGGCUCACUGGACUGGUAUUGACGCUGAGGUGCGAAAGCGUGGGGAGCAAAUGGGAUUAGAUACCCCUGUAGUCCCUGUCUCUUAUAC